This is a non-coding RNA of Podarcis lilfordi (Lilford's wall lizard), 74 nucleotides long. Lineage: Eukaryota; Metazoa; Chordata; Lepidosauria; Squamata; Lacertidae. The record is from the annotation of a GenBank genome assembly.
GUCUGGAUAGCUCAGUUGGUUAGAGUGUGGUGCUGGCAAUGCCAAGGUUACAGGUUCGAUCCCCAUAUGAGGCA